Molecule: long non-coding RNA, 247 nt
Filed under: Lotus japonicus
Lineage: Eukaryota; Viridiplantae; Streptophyta; Magnoliopsida; Fabales; Fabaceae
Description: long non-coding RNA (LJAP_LNC001671)
Source: RNAcentral
UAAAUUUUAAUUUAAUUAACAAUUAUAAUCCUAAAUCAAUCAACAAAAUCAAUUCUCCCAAAUCAUCUUCAUCUUCAUAGAAAUCAUCUUCAUCUUCAUCUUCACCAUGUCCUUCAUCUUAAUCUCAUCACCAUCUCCAAAUAAUUAAAUUUCCCAAACCCAAAACAAACCUAGAAUCAACAACAACAAUCCAAAAAAUCAAUCUUUCAUCUUCACCUUCAACAAACCCAGCCAUUAUGAACCUCCA